AUUGAACGCUGGCGGCAGGCCUAACACAUGCAAGUCGAACGGUAACAGGAAGAAGCUUGCUUCUUUGCUGACGAGUGGCGGACGGGUGAGUAAUGUCUGGGAAACUGCCUGAUGGAGGGGGAUAACUACUGGAAACGGUAGCUAAUACCGCAUAACGUCGCAAGACCAAAAAGGGGGACCUUCGGGCCUCUUGCCAUCGGAUGUGCCCAGAUGGGAUUAGCUAGUAGGUGGGGUAACGGCUCACCUAGGCGACGAUCCCUAGCUGGUCUGAGAGGAUGAACAGCCACACUGGAACUGAGACACGGUCCAGACUCCUACGGGAGGCAGCAGUGGGGAAUAUUGCACAAAGGGCGCAAGCCUGAUGCAGCCAUGCCGCGUGUAUGAAGAAGGCCUUCGGGUUGUAAAGUACUUUCAGCGGGGAGGAAGGGAGUAAAGUUAAUACCUUUGCUCAUUGACGUUACCCGCAGAAGAAGCACCGGCUAACUCCGUG
This 490-nucleotide ribosomal RNA is filed under the name uncultured bacterium. RNAcentral describes it as "partial 16S ribosomal RNA". It matches the Rfam family "Bacterial small subunit ribosomal RNA", at positions 30 to 507 of the family's 1533-position model. The record is from RNAcentral.